GACCGGAAACCGAUCGAUCUAGCCAUGAGCAGGUUGAAGAGAGCUCUAACAGGCCUUGGAGGAACGAACCCACGUAUGCGGCAAAAUACGGGGAUGACUUGUGGCUAGGGGUGAAAGACCAACCAAGAUCAGAUAUAGCUGG
Molecule: non-coding RNA, 142 nt
Filed under: Oryza meridionalis
Lineage: Eukaryota; Viridiplantae; Streptophyta; Magnoliopsida; Poales; Poaceae
Description: Bacterial large subunit ribosomal RNA
Rfam family: Bacterial large subunit ribosomal RNA
Source: Rfam by way of RNAcentral